This 73-nucleotide transfer RNA is filed under the name Endocronartium harknessii PhW48OC. Its description in RNAcentral is "tRNA-Thr (AGT) (tRNA-Thr-AGT-11-1)". It matches the Rfam family "tRNA". Rfam says of the family: Transfer RNA (tRNA) molecules are approximately 80 nucleotides in length. Their secondary structure includes four short double-helical elements and three loops (D, anti-codon, and T loops). Lineage: Eukaryota; Fungi; Basidiomycota; Pucciniomycetes; Pucciniales; Coleosporiaceae. The record is from RNAcentral.
GUGUCUGUAGGCUAGUGGCAAAAGGCAGCACUCUAGUACAUUGAGGUUGUGGGUUUGAAUCCCACCAGACACA